RNAcentral lists this long non-coding RNA (1450 nucleotides) under Zonotrichia albicollis (white-throated sparrow). RNAcentral's name for it is "lncRNA (ENSZALG00000005480.1)". The record is from RNAcentral. Lineage: Eukaryota; Metazoa; Chordata; Aves; Passeriformes; Passerellidae.
UGUUGUCUCUAACAUUUUUCCUUGUGUGGUGUUGAGAGCUUGCUGAGGAUGCUGCCUUCACGCUGCACAAGGAAGGUUUUAUUUCAUCCCUUUGCUUGCAUCUUUCAGGAGGAAACUGCUGGGAGUUUUAAAAGAAAUGUCGACACAAUCCUUCCUUUUGGAAAAUUUCAGCUCCUGGUGGAGGUGUCUGUUUGUCAAGCAGAGUCCUCGAAGGGUUGGGCGGAGGGUGCUGGAGCCACUCCACGCUGUAGCCUGAGGGCUCUGAUUUUGGGCAGAGCCAGGCUGGCAGGGUGCCGAGCUGCGGGGAGGCUCCGUGAGCGCCGCUAUCUCCUGCAGAUCGGGGAUCUGCUCAAGUGUGUCUGCCCUGACGCCAGCCCCUGCUCCAAUGGUGCUUAUGCUUUCUUGCAAGCCAGGCACUUCUGUCCUGGUGCAAGAGCAAGAUGGUCAUGACUGCCAUGAUGGCUGGGCUAUGGAGCCAAGGGGCAGAGAGAGGAAAAGCCCCAUGCUGAGGUUGUGGUGCUCCCAAAAACCAUUGACUGUGGUCAGUGAGAGGGAUGAGAUGUCAACAUCUGGUGAAGCCACUGCCCUGUCCCCAUUUUAUGUGUUUGCCAUCUCCAUCUGCCAUCCUGGUUGCUAGUCCCAGGUUCCUGUGGGGCUGCCACAGCCACCUCCUGUCCCACGGGGUGCACAUGGGUGUCUGCAGACAUUGCUUCCCCAUCCUCCUUCACCAGACCCCCUCAGAUCUGCUUUCGUGAGACUGAAAUGGAUUCUGUCUGGCUCUGAUAGACACUGAGCAUCUGCUGUGCCCAGUGACUCCGAAAAUCGCGCCUCUUUGGAGCCGUGCAUGGAUUUAAGGACUCCACGUGAGGUGACUGAAGGGGUGCUUGUGGCUCGAGCCCACUUUGAGUUGUGCUGCUAAAAGCAGGGGUUAUAUCUGCAUUGGGAAGGGUGUAAAAUUAAUGCAAUGUUUGGAUCAGCUCAUUAACUAACUGUGCUGGUCCAAAUCUUGCCCUUGGAGGCAUGUGUGUUUCUGCCAGAGCCAUCAACAUAAAGCCUCUCUGCAGCACAGCCGGGGAUAGGAUUUGGCCUGUUUAUAUUCACGGUGCAAAAAGGACCGAAGGAUUAAUGACUGAUUACUUCUCGGGCCAGCGGGAGCCCUGGGUACCCAUCCAGUCUGCAGAUAAAAUGCAGGGCAGACCAAGACAAAGCUUUGCAACAGAAUCCUCCCAAUUACCUCACCGAUCUCCCCGCGCGCCGUAAAAUGCACCGUCAGCUCUGCAGCCGCCUCAGCCCGGGGACCAAACCCCUCCCGACCCUGCUCCGAGCCCCUCUGCGGGGCUUCAGGGAGGAAAACCAUCCUCCCUCCGCCUCGCCCCUCUCCCUGACCUGGGCAUCGUUUGGAGGUGGUUUGGUGAAGCCUUGGCUGGUCCCUACCUGUCUGUGCAUGUGU